Molecule: ribosomal RNA, 128 nt
Filed under: Escherichia coli
Lineage: Bacteria; Pseudomonadati; Pseudomonadota; Gammaproteobacteria; Enterobacterales; Enterobacteriaceae
Description: partial 23S ribosomal RNA
Rfam family: Bacterial large subunit ribosomal RNA (bases 1-110)
Source: RNAcentral
CUUUAAGGGGCCUGAAGGAACGUUGAAGACGACGACGUUGAUAGGCCGGGUGUGUAAGCGCAGCGAUGCGUUGAGCUAACCGGUACUAAUGAACCGUGAGGCUUAACCUUACAACGCCGAAGGUGUUU